GAAGAAAAAGUCGUGACUAAUAAUCAUGAUUCAUGACGGUAUCAACAGAAGAAGCACCGGCUAACUACGUGCCAGCAGCCGCGGUAAUACGUAGGGCGCAAGCGUUAAUCGGAAUUACUGGGCGUAAAGGGUGCGCAGGCGGUUCUGUAAGUCAGAUGGAGGUUUCCGGUUUCAACCGAAGUGCGUUUGAAACUACAAAGCUAG
Molecule: ribosomal RNA, 204 nt
Filed under: uncultured Nitrosomonas sp.
Lineage: Bacteria; Pseudomonadati; Pseudomonadota; Betaproteobacteria; Nitrosomonadales; Nitrosomonadaceae
Description: partial 16S ribosomal RNA
Rfam family: Bacterial small subunit ribosomal RNA
Source: RNAcentral